Molecule: ribosomal RNA, 454 nt
Filed under: uncultured bacterium
Lineage: Bacteria
Description: partial 16S ribosomal RNA
Rfam family: Bacterial small subunit ribosomal RNA
Source: RNAcentral
GAUGAACGCUGACGGCAUGCCUAACACAUGCAAGUCAACCUGAACUUCGGUUUGGGUGGCGGACGGGUGAGUUACGCGUAAAGAACUUGCCUCACAGCUAGGGAUAACUUUUGGAAACGAAUGCUAAUACCUGAUAUUAUGUUUAUAUGGCAUAGUAUAAUUAUGAAAGCUAUAUGCGCUGUGAGAGAGCUUUGCGUCCCAUUAGCUAGUUGGAGAGGUAACAGCACACCAAGGCGAGGAUGGGUAGCCAGCCUGAGAGGGUGAUCGGCCACACAGGGACUGAGACACGACCCGUACGGAAUCGUGCGGCAGGAGUGAGGAAGAUAGGACGAGGGACCGAGGGACUGAUGAAGCAAUUCUGAUUGCACAAUGAUGUUUUUCGGAAUGUAAAAAUCUUUCAGUAACGAAGAAAAUAAUGACGGUACCAACAGAAGAAGCCACGGCUAAAUACGUG